This 1393-nucleotide ribosomal RNA is filed under the name Citrobacter freundii. Its description in RNAcentral is "partial 23S ribosomal RNA". It matches the Rfam family "Bacterial large subunit ribosomal RNA", at positions 1 to 1435 of the family's 2925-position model. The record is from RNAcentral. Lineage: Bacteria; Pseudomonadati; Pseudomonadota; Gammaproteobacteria; Enterobacterales; Enterobacteriaceae.
GGUUAAGCGACUAAGCGUACACGGUGGAUGCCCUGGCAGUCAGAGGCGAUGAAGGACGUGCUAAUCUGCGAUAAGCGUCGGUAAGGUGAUAUGAACCGUUAUAACCGGCGAUUUCCGAAUGGGGAAACCCAGUGUGAUUCGUCACACUAUCAUUACGUGAAUACAUAGCGUAAUGAAGCGAACCGGGGGAACUGAAACAUCUAAGUACCCCGAGGAAAAGAAAUCAACCGAGAUUCCCCCAGUAGCGGCGAGCGAACGGGGAGCAGCCCAGAGUCUGAAUCAGCUUGUGUGUUAGUGGAACGGUCUGGAAAGUCCGACGGUACAGGGUGAUAGUCCCGUACACCAAAAUGCACAGGUUGUGAACUCGAAGAGUAGGGCGGGACACGUGGUAUCCUGUCUGAAUAUGGGGGGACCAUCCUCCAAGGCUAAAUACUCCUGACUGACCGAUAGUGAACCAGUACCGUGAGGGAAAGGCGAAAAGAACCCCGGCGAGGGGAGUGAAAAAGAACCUGAAACCGUGUACGUACAAGCAGUGGGAGCCUCUUUAUGGGGUGACUGCGUACCUUUUGUAUAAUGGGUCAGCGACUUAUAUUCUGUAGCAAGGUUAACCGUAUAGGGGAGCCGAAGGGAAACCGAGUCUUAACUGGGCGUUAAGUUGCAGGGUAUAGACCCGAAACCCGGUGAUCUAGCCAUGGGCAGGUUGAAGGUUGGGUAACACUAACUGGAGGACCGAACCGACUAAUGUUGAAAAAUUAGCGGAUGACUUGUGGCUGGGGGUGAAAGGCCAAUCAAACCGGGAGAUAGCUGGUUCUCCCCGAAAGCUAUUUAGGUAGCGCCUCGUGAACUCAUCUUCGGGGGUAGAGCACUGUUUCGGCUAGGGGGUCAUCCCGACUUACCAACCCGAUGCAAACUGCGAAUACCGAAGAAUGUUAUCACGGGAGACACACGGCGGGUGCUAACGUCCGUCGUGAAGAGGGAAACAACCCAGACCGCCAGCUAAGGUCCCAAAGUCAUGGUUAAGUGGGAAACGAUGUGGGAAGGCACAGACAGCCAGGAUGUUGGCUUAGAAGCAGCCAUCAUUUAAAGAAAGCGUAAUAGCUCACUGGUCGAGUCGGCCUGCGCGGAAGAUGUAACGGGGCUAAACCAUGCACCGAAGCUGCGGCAGCGACACUAUGUGUUGUUGGGUAGGGGAGCGUUCUGUAAGCCGUUGAAGGUGUAUCGUGAGGUAUGCUGGAGGUAUCAGAAGUGCGAAUGCUGACAUAAGUAACGAUAAUGCGGGUGAAAAACCCGCACGCCGGAAGACCAAGGGUUCCUGUCCAACGUUAAUCGGGGCAGGGUGAGUCGACCCCUAAGGCGAGGCCGAAAGGCGUAGUCGAUGGGAAACAGGUUAAUA